AGUGAACGCUGGCGGUAGGCCUAACACAUGCAAGUCGAACGGCAGCACAGUAAGAGCUUGCUCUUACGGGUGGCGAGUGGCGGACGGGUGAGGAAUACAUCGGAAUCUACUUUUUCGUGGGGGAUAACGUAGGGAAACUUACGCUAAUACCGCAUACGACCUACGGGUGAAAGCAGGGGAUCUUCGGACCUUGCGCGAUUGAAUGAGCCGAUGUCGGAUUCGCUAGUUGGCGGGGUAAAGGCCCACCAAGGCGACGAUCCGUAGCUGGUCUGAGAGGAUGAUCAGCCACACUGGAACUGAGACACGGUACAGACUCCUACGGGAGGCCGCAGUGGGGAAUAUUGGGCAAUGGGGGAAAGCCUGAUACAGCCAUACCGCGUGGGUGAAGAAGGACUUAGGGUUGUAAAGCCCUUUUGUUGGGAAAGAAAAGCAGCAGGUUAAUACCCCGCUGUUCUGACGGUACCCAAAGAAUAAGCACCGGCUAACUUCGUG
This 492-nucleotide ribosomal RNA is filed under the name uncultured bacterium. RNAcentral describes it as "partial 16S ribosomal RNA". It matches the Rfam family "Bacterial small subunit ribosomal RNA", at positions 29 to 507 of the family's 1533-position model. The record is from RNAcentral.